This 418-nucleotide long non-coding RNA is filed under the name Salmo salar (Atlantic salmon). Its description in RNAcentral is "lncRNA (ENSSSAG00000096116.1)". Lineage: Eukaryota; Metazoa; Chordata; Actinopteri; Salmoniformes; Salmonidae. The record is from RNAcentral.
AGAACAACUUGUCAGGUGGUGCAUUGGAGACUGAUGUGUUCCUGUCCUGUCUUUUCAUAAUACUAUUGCAGAUCGACAUAAAAGCCUAAAAGACAGCCGUGGUGUUGCUCUUCAUUUCUUGGUUCUCCUGUGGUGCAUAAGAAACCCGCUACAGAUUGGUGCCGUGACCCGGAUCAACAGAUCAGCUGCAGCAGAUCGCCGAGGGACCCCUAAACAGAACUGGAUCGACAUCACACGUUUAAAACAUUUGAGGGCAAGAACAACUUGUCAGGUGGUGCAUUGGAGACUGAUGUGUUCCUGUCCUGUCUUUUCAUAAUACUAUUGCAGGUAUGGUUCUAUUGUCUAAGAAUUAAGAUUAUACAUUCUUUGUAUUAAGGACUGGUUAUUAUUUUAUACUAUACAUUAUGGCUUUAUGUAU